RNAcentral lists this ribosomal RNA (852 nucleotides) under Ramaria velocimutans. RNAcentral's name for it is "eukaryotic LSU rRNA". It matches the Rfam family "Eukaryotic large subunit ribosomal RNA", at positions 128 to 957 of the family's 3401-position model. The record is from RNAcentral. Lineage: Eukaryota; Fungi; Basidiomycota; Agaricomycetes; Gomphales; Gomphaceae.
CUGUGGCCGUCCGAGUUGUAGUCUGGAGAAGCGUUUUCUGUAUCGGACCGUGUACAAGUCCCUUGGAACAGGGCGUCACAGAGGGUGAGAAUCCCGUCUUUGACACGGACUGCCGGUGCUUUGUGAUGCGCUCUCGAAGAGUCGAGUUGUUUGGGAAUGCAGCUCAAAUCGGGUGGUAAAUUCCAUCUAAAGCUAAAUAUUGGCGAAAGACCGAUAGCGAACAAGUACCGUGAGGGAAAGAUGAAAAGCACUUUGGAAAGAGAGUUAAACAGUACGUGAAAUUGUUGAAAGGGAAACGCUUGAAGUCAGUCGCGUCUUCCGGGAUUCAGCCUUGCGUUUCUUUCGCUUGGYGUACUUCCCGGAGUUUGACGGGCCAGUGUCGAUUUCGAUCGUCGGAGAAAGGUCUUGGGAAUGUGGCACCUUCGGGUGUGUUAUAGCCCUCGGUCGUAUGCGACGGUCGGGAUCGAGGAUCGCAGCACGCCUCUUUUGGCCGGGGUUCGCCCACGUAACGUGCUUAGGAUGCUGGCGUAAUGGCUUUAAGCGACCCGUCUUGAAACACGGACCAAGGAGUCUAACAUGCCUGCGAGUGUUUGGGUGCAAAACCCGGACGCGCAAUGAAAGUGAAAGGUUGGGACCUCUGUCGCGGAGGGCACCGACGCCCGGGCCAGACCUUCUGUGACGGCUCCGAGGUAGAGCAUGUAUGUUGGGACCCGAAAGAUGGUGAACUAUGCCUGAGUAGGGUGAAGCCAGAGGAAACUCUGGUGGAGGCUCGUAGCGAUUCUGACGUGCAAAUCGAUCGUCGAACUUGGGUAUAGGGGCGAAAGACUAAUCGAACCAUCUAGUAGCUGGUUC